This 52-nucleotide transfer RNA is filed under the name Nostoc sp. JR10022B. RNAcentral's name for it is "partial tRNA-Leu". RNAcentral also lists the same sequence under 2 other names. The record is from RNAcentral. Lineage: Bacteria; Bacillati; Cyanobacteriota; Cyanophyceae; Nostocales; Nostocaceae.
GGUAGACGCUACGGACUUAAAAUCCGUUGACCGUAARAGGUCGUGUGGGUUC